CCUACGGGGCGCAGCAGUGAGGGAUAUUGGUCAAUGGGGGAAACCCUGAACCAGCAACGCCGCGUGAGGGAAGACGGUUUUCGGAUUGUAAACCUCUGUCCUCUGUGAAGAUAAUGACGGUAGCAGAGGAGGAAGCUCCGGCUAACUACGUGCCAGCAGCCGCGGUAAUACGUAGGGAGCGAGCGUUGUCCGGAUUUACUGGGUGUAAAGGGGGUGUAGGCGGGAAUGCAAGUCAGAUGUGAAAACUAUGGGCUCAACCCAUAGCCUGCAUUUGAAACUGUAUUUCUUGAGUGCUGGAGAGGCAA
Molecule: ribosomal RNA, 305 nt
Filed under: uncultured bacterium
Lineage: Bacteria
Description: bacterial SSU rRNA
Rfam family: Bacterial small subunit ribosomal RNA
Source: RNAcentral